UAGAGUUUGAUCAUGGCUCAGGAUGAACGCUGGCGGCGUGCCUAAUACAUGCAAGUCGGACGAGGUGCCUUUGUAGCAAUACGAGGGUAUCCUAGUGGCGAACGGGUGAGUAACGCGUUGGUGACCUGCCCCGAAGUGUGGGAUACCAGUCCGAAAGGACUGCUAAUACCGCAUGUGGUCAUCGGUUUCAGAAACCGAUGUCGAAAGCAGUAAUGCGCUUUGGGAGGGACCUGCGUCCCAUCAGCUAGUUGGUAGGGUAACGGCCUACCAAGGCUUCGACGGGUAGGGGACCUGAGAGGGUGACCCCCCACAAUGGAACUGAAAUACGGUCCAUACACCUACGGGUGGCAGCAGUAGGGRAWWWUUGCACAAUGGACGAAAGUCUGAUGCAGCAACGCCGCGUGCACGAUGAAGGCCUUCGGGUCGUAAAGUGCUUUUCUGAGAGAUGAGAAAGGACAGUAUCUCAGGAAUAAGUCWCGGCUAACUACGUGCCWGCCGCCGCGGKAAUAC
This 510-nucleotide ribosomal RNA is filed under the name uncultured Bellilinea sp. Its description in RNAcentral is "bacterial SSU rRNA". It matches the Rfam family "Bacterial small subunit ribosomal RNA", at positions 1 to 526 of the family's 1533-position model. Lineage: Bacteria; Bacillati; Chloroflexota; Anaerolineae; Anaerolineales; Anaerolineaceae. The record is from RNAcentral.